Long non-coding RNA from Macaca mulatta (Rhesus monkey), 1712 nucleotides. The record is from Ensembl. NCBI's taxonomy places the organism in Eukaryota, Metazoa, Chordata, Mammalia, Primates, Cercopithecidae.
UUCCUCUCUGCCUCCACCUCUGAGACUGGUUCUUUUCCUGGCAGGAGAUAUUUACUGAGCAGGCGGACAAGCCAUACACUGAAGAACAGCUGCAGAGGAAAGGCUGGACCAGGUGUGCUGGGAGUCACCAGGAGCAAGGUGGUGAAGGUGAGUUUUCUCCUGAGCGCCUCACGGGACUCAUUAGCACCUCACCAUCUGCUGGGAACCAUCUUUACAAAUGUAAUUGUGCCUGUUGGGGAAAGACAGUAUUUUUUGUUCUUUUGUUUUGUUUGUUUGUUUGUUUUCUUAAAGACAGAAAAGUCUUUUUCAUUUUCUGAAACGCUUUCAAAUGUGCUCAACCUUUUCCAGUGGGUAGCAGAUCUCUUAAUUACAUCUUGGGCGGGUCCAAAAUUCUACCGUUGUUUUCGGGUAUUAACCCUCAGUCCACUUUAAAACAUCAAUUCCAAACUUGAUUCUACUCUCACCUCAUCUCCCAGCGCCACUGUCCUCCCCCAGUCCAGUGCAAGCUUGGACCUGGACCCUGAAUGAGGGAGUUCUAUUUCUGGGACACUCCCCUACUCUCGCUUUUCCUUUUGGGAACUAGUUCCUCUAGUGCACUGGGCUGAGAGGUAGGACAAAGAAAGGGCAGAGGGUCGUAAACUAACAGGGCAGCGGUAGCCUUCUCUCUAGUGGUGGCCCACUGGGACUGGCUGUGAGGCAGGCAUCAACAUGCUAGCUUUCUCUGGAAGACAUCUGGGUUCUUUUAGAGAGACUUGCAGGGCAGGGAUAUGGUAAAUCCAGGCUCAACCACCUCCAUGCCCCUCAACUCCCAUGACUGAAUAUGCACUCUACGGACUCUCUCAGCUCAAGCUCCCCGGUAAAUAGAGAGAGAACCCUGUUGGGGUAGGGAUAGAACAAAUCCAGCCACCUUCUAAGUAGUAUCCACUUGAACCGCAGGAAAUGCAUUUUCUGGCCCUGACCAACUGGGUGAGUUCAGACUGCCCCUGCAGCUCUUCUUUCCGCCCUUUCUUUUUUCUCCAAAACCCUCCUCUAUCGCUAAUGAUGUAUGAAUAAGCCAGAAAAUCCUUUUCCUAAUCAAAUGUCCAAUGGGCAGCUACUUUACAUCCCAAUAUUUGUGGAAUCAUUUUCUUAGAACCUUACUAGGGAGAAAGCACAGCCACCCCAUUACCCAUAACCGCAGGAAGGGCAGCAAGUCUCCACUCCUCACACGUCCUGCGCUCUGGUGACCCUUAGACUUACUUCUCUCUCUCCCUCCUCCCCAGUCUCACUGGGUAGAAGGUGGAGUUGGCAGUAACACAGCCACAUAUGUCACCUCUUAGGAAUCCUUGGUUCUCAGCUCUGGUGGGUGUCAGCUCAGGCAGAGUACUUCUCUGUCCUCACUCUUGGGUCCUGGAAGCCUCCACAGAAAGGGUCUCCAUUCAUAGCUUGUUGCAUGUUUAGAGUAGUUGAAGUUCCACUUCCAGAGCUCUUCAUUCUUUGUGUAGAGCCAGAUUUUUAUCUGGUAUCAUUGUCCUUCUGCUUGAAGGACACCCCUUAACAUUUCUUAUCGUAUAGGUCCUCAGGGGGGUCUUUUUUUUUGCUUUUGUAUGUUUGAACAGUCUUUUGCAUUUGUUUUUGAAAGACAUUUUUGCUGGGUAUAGAAUUUUAGGUUAGUGGCCAUUUCAUGUGAAAGACCAAAAAAAAAAAAAAGUAGAAUUCUAGGUUGACAAUAU